AAUAUGUGCAGUUUUGUACUAUUAACAUUCAACGUUUGACCGUUCGUCUUAUUUAAAAUUUUUUUAUGAUUAAUAUUUUUAUUGCUAUUAGAUGAUAAAACAUGAAUAGUACUUUAUGUGUGACUAAAUAUUUUCAAUUUUUUCACAAAUUUUUCAAAUAAGACGGACGGUCAAACGUUGGGCACUGAUAUCCACGGCUGCACUUAUU
Oryza barthii is the source of this 208-nucleotide non-coding RNA. The record is from Rfam. NCBI's taxonomy places the organism in Eukaryota, Viridiplantae, Streptophyta, Magnoliopsida, Poales, Poaceae.